This is a long non-coding RNA of Anopheles merus, 932 nucleotides long. RefSeq lists it as uncharacterized. The record is from RefSeq and is a predicted model, not a curated record. Lineage: Eukaryota; Metazoa; Arthropoda; Insecta; Diptera; Culicidae. The transcript has 3 exons.
GUGGCAUUCGGCCGUCAUAGCAGCUGCUCAUAGGCACCGCUGUGCUGCUGCAGGAUGCCCUGGUCCUGCCCAUCCCAACAUCGUCCUCACCGCAAUCGGUCACCCAGAUUGAGGCUCCAGCGGUGGAAGUAGUAGGAGCACAUUCUCCAAGCCGAUUGGGAUUCUCCAAGCCUGGUUCUCGGUGUACCAUCCUCCUGAUGUUCCGCUGGCCGAUCCUCUGUUGAAACCGUCGCCGUGAACGACCGCUCUCCCCCGCGUGCAGCAAUCUCCAGGCUCCAGGUCAAACGUGAAGCUGAAACGUCUCCUUGCGUUUCACGUUGGCCGUCCACUGCAACUCAAGUGGGGGCCCGGCUGGCCCUUCAAUCUGCUAGGGUUGCAGCGUGAAUGAUGAUCCUUCAUCCAGAAAUUGCGUGCGUGCCUCGCACUCGCUUGUUCAACGCUUGCACAACCCGGGACACGACACAGGAGAAUCUCGAUCGACAAGGCUUUGUUACGUGGUUUGCGGCACAGCUUCAUCUGCGUUACAGUCUCAACACGUUCCAUGGGAGACAUGCGCUUCGCAUCAUUCUCUUAGCGUAUGAUCCGUGUUCGAUCGAACGAAGGUAGGGAGUUUCAAUUUGCGAUGGCGAGAAACCCGAUCGCGCACGAAUCGCAGGUCAUUCGCUUCCUCAAACACGAACCAUCUGAAUUUAGCAUCAUCUAUCGGUUCUGUUUUGUAUUUCCCAAUCAACUCUGGGGCUGUUUGGGACCCAUAACCUUUCUCCAUUUCGUGAUUGUUCUGCAGUUUGUGGCAACCGUUCUUCCGUCAGUUCCUUGAAUGCCUGUUUGGCACUUUCAAUGAAGGCUUCUGUAAUCCAAUCUGUGUGUGAUGAUAUGUGAGAAAGAAAGCUGCCCGCUUUUGCAGAACAGUGAUGGAAUAGGACUGGACUAUA